Molecule: non-coding RNA, 48 nt
Filed under: Trichobilharzia regenti
Lineage: Eukaryota; Metazoa; Platyhelminthes; Trematoda; Strigeidida; Schistosomatidae
Source: RNAcentral
AUCCAGAUGACGAGUCACAAAUAGGACGAAAUGCGCGUUGUUCUGGAU